GUUCAGCUGACAGUCUCUGCUCCGUCAUGCGGUCCAGCAGCUCGGUGGCUCUGCGAGGAUGGACGGCCAGCACCUUUGAUCCGCCCAGUUUUAUUUUUCGCAGAUUUUAGAUGGUGAAUCAUGUGUCCCUGUGUGUCCUUGAAGGCAGCAUUUACAGCGUGGAUCAGAAAGGCCAGUGGACACAGGAUGAGUCAUGGUCACUGAAAUCACUGAUGCUGAUGUAGCCAGUUACAGCUAACUUUAUUCAUCAGACUGAUCCAUAAACUUCUGCUGUCAGUAAUAAUAAUAAUGCUUCCUGCCAAAUGAGAUACAUGCAAAGACUGUUUAUGUUUCCUAUGUAUUCAGAAUUAAAGUUGUUUAUGUAUAUUAUUUUUAGACUUCUCAGAUGAGAGGAUCUGCAGCUUUUUCUCUGUUUUAUACUGUUGGUCAAACAAGACGAGCAAUUUGAAGACUCACUUUGGGCUCUGGGAGCUUGCAAUAGUAAUAGGCAUGAAGUAUUUUCCAACAUUUUAUUUACAAAAUAAUUAGCCGAUUAAUAAAAAACAAACUGAGACAGUGAAUAUAGUCAUACUGCAUAUAGCUUACAAAUAUUUGUUAUUUUCAUGUUUAACUUUCAUUUGUCUGGAAGCCCAGUCUGAUGUGUGCAUUAUCUUGUGGAUAUGACACAGUUUGUACAUUGAUCAGAACCCAGUAUAAAUGUAAACAUAAUCCACCCUACUCUCACUCUGAAAGAUGAUCAACAGCCUCACCAUUUAUAGACAGAAGGAGUGUGUUGAGAUAUGUUCAUUGUUGCAAGCGAGACAGUGAUUUUGUAAUGUGGUAUCUGGUCAGAUAGUGUUGUGUGAGUGUGUGUGUAGGAAUGCAGAGCCUCGUCUGUACCUGCAACAGGAGCAGGGGUGUGGCACUGCUGAUGUGUCCAAGGUGGAAAUAUGACACAAAACACAUAACUGACUGUGUAGAGAGAGGAACCAGAUGUAAAGAGGAUAAACCAACAUGUAAGACCUCUGCACGCAAUAUGUUUUUUAUAUUAAUGUUUGAAUGGUUUUGUUGUUACAAGUCGAUGGGUCCAGUGACAGUGCAAAAACACAGCGCAGUGUAAAGUAGUUUCCCACAGUAUGUUGUGUUAUAUUCUCUCUAAUUUAAGAUAAAUGCAUGUGUAUCAAGGGAAAAGAGACAUGAAUUAAAUACAUUACAACAACAAAGUCCCAAACAAGGGGAAAUGUAUACCUGCACUUUGUCUCCCAUCCACCAAUGAGCUUUUGGUUUAAUUUCCUACCAUAUAUGGUCAAAGAGAGUAGACAGAAAGAGAGAGAGAGAUCUCCAGAAAAGAGAUGGGUGCAGAGAAGAGAGGUGGAGGGAGGCGUGGACUAUUGUUGUGUUUUUUUCUUUCUUUCUGUCUUCUUCUUUUUUUUUUUUUUUUUUUGGUGCGGUGUAAAGUUUCUUUUCAAACCCUGUCAUUACCCCAAGCCCUGGUCCUCCUGUUGUCUUCAAGUCUGUCACACAUCAAAGAUGGUCUGAUAGAAAUGUAGGGGUGGCAUGUCGCAGCAUGAAUGAAAUAGAGCAAGGACACACACAUGGACACACACACACUGUUGGCAUUAUAAAGUGUAACUGUUUUUCCAAUGUAGACAAUAAAAUAAAACAGUAACAUACAUAAA
Long non-coding RNA from Lates calcarifer (barramundi perch), 1658 nucleotides. RefSeq lists it as uncharacterized. The record is from RefSeq and is a predicted model, not a curated record. Lineage: Eukaryota; Metazoa; Chordata; Actinopteri; Centropomidae. The transcript has 2 exons.